Molecule: non-coding RNA, 6804 nt
Organism: Manis javanica (Malayan pangolin)
Lineage: Eukaryota; Metazoa; Chordata; Mammalia; Pholidota; Manidae
Source: RefSeq, a predicted model, not a curated record
UGUCGCGGCGGGUGGCGCGCGCCGGCCGGGACCUGCCGUCGGGCCGUGCGGGGAGGGGACCCGGACGCAUCGGUGGGGCGCGGUAGGGACCCAGCCUGGGCGGGUGCCCAUGGCCGGAUCCGCGAUGGCCGAGCCUUGCCGUGGGCCGUCCGCGCCCGUGGCGGGCACGGAGGGGCUGCCGCGCGCGUUCCUGCAGAGCCUACGCACGCUCUUCGACAUCCUGGACGACCGGCGUCGCGGCUGCGUGCACCUGCGCGAGAUCGAGUCCCGCUGGCGGGGCGCCGACACCCGCGAGCUGCCUCGCGGCGUGCUCGAGGGCCUGCGCCAGGUGGCCCCGGCCAGCGGCUACCUGACUUUCGAGCGCUUCGUGGCCGGCUUGCGCACCUCGCUGCUGAGCGCCGACUGCAGCCCGCGGGGCCCGGCGCGUGCCCCGGCCCGGGGAGGCUGCCCAGCGCGGCCAGGGGCCCAGCCGCUCCCGCCGCCGCCGCAGCGCCUGCUGUUCGCUCCGGCAGACGAGCCGCGGACGGUCCUGGAGAGGAAGCCCCUGCCCCUGGGCGCGCGCCCCCCAGCGUCCGGCCCCGGCGGCGCGGCCCGGGGUCUGGAGAAGCUGUGUGUCCUGGCCGGGGCGGCAACCGGCCCAGUGGAGCCCGAGCAGCCCCAGGGCGCAGCGCUGGAGCGGAGCCUGAGUGCAGACGCUGGUGCAGUGGCCUGCAGAGCCUGGGAGCUGGGUGUGGGGGAUGCCCAGCGGGCCCCCCGUGCCCGAGGGGAGCGUCGGAGACACACCAUCACCAAUGGUGUGGACUGUGACCUUCUGAAGCAGGUGAAGGAGCUGGAGCAGGAGCAGGAAGUGCUGCAGCAGGGCCUGGAGAUGAUGGCGCGGGGCCGGGACUGGUACGAGCAGCAGCUGCAGCGGGUGCAGGAGCGCCAGCGCCGCCUGGGCCAGAGCAGGGCCAGUGCUGACUUUGGGGCUGAGGGGAGCUCCCGCCCUCUGGGGCGGCUGCUGCCCAAGGUACAGGAGGUGGCCCGGUGCCUGGGGGAGCUGCUGGCGGCGGCCUGUGCUGGCAGGGCUCUGCCCUCAUCUUCCUUGGGGCCCCCCGCCUCACCCCCAGCCCCAGACUGGCAGCAGCAAUCCAUCCUCAAGCUGAAAGAGCAGAACAGGCUGCUCGCCCAGGAGGUGGCCGCCAGGAGCGAUCGGAUCGCACAGCUGGAGCAGGAGAAAUCCUCCCUCAUCAGGCAGCUGUUUGAGGCGCGUGCCCUCAGCCAGCAGGACGCAGGGCCGCUGGACUCCACGUUCAUCUAGCCGGCCACUACACGGACACGGGGACCUCAGGGCCGAGGGCCGGCCUGGACAGAGCCCUCCCUCUUCUCGCCCAGGGUGGGCUUCCCCGGUGGACCCAGCUGAUGGGCAGUGCCCCAGGAUGCCCUGUGGCCCCCGACAGACUUGGUCCCGGCCAGGGGUGCUGACUGAGGCAGGACUGGAUAUGCUACUGUCUGUGGGCAGUGGGGCCCCUCUUCUGUUUACCUGCUGUCAGGCAGCUCCACCCCCAUGUUUUCCACUGGCCUGGCUCCCCUCUGACCCGGGGUCUCCAGUAAAAAGGUACUGGUCACUCAGCUGCGCUUCUGACUGUGGCCAGAAGAGGGAGCUGCAUGCCAGUCACUGGGGCCCUGGAGUCCCAACCCUGGGUAUCAAUCCCCGCCUGGAGUAGGGGUCUCUGGGGGGCUGGGAGGCCCAACAGGUGAUUGGGCUCUUCCUCAGCCAGAAGGAGCAGAUAGAAGGGUUAGAGGGUAUUCCCUAACACAGGAACUUGGGGAAGAGUGGUCAGAGUUAGUGCCUGGGCCAAGGCUGGCCUGCUUGACCCUCCCCAACAGACCCCAGGCCCUAAACCAACUUGAAUUAGCUGUCUGCCCGAUGGAGCCCCACAGAGCAGCUUGUGAUCCAGGCUCAGGGUCUGCCAGGCACUGGCUGGGGCAGGCUGUGGUUACCAGGAUGGCUGUGGGUGCCCCUCCUAGUGGAGGGCCCCGUGCCCCCGAUUGACGGUAUGGGUCCCCCAGACUUGCCCCAAGGGCCAGGCACCCCCACCAGGACCCACUCCACAGAACUCAACGUUCCCCAGGUUUGAGAACUUGUCACACCCUCUAUCCCCCAUCCCCGGCUGGCCCCAGGUCUGAGCCACUAGGGACCAUUUCUGCUCAGCCACUAGAACAGGGAACCACAGGAUUCAGCAAGAGGCUGGGAGCAGGUUCCCCAUCCUGGGUCACUUUACCCCGUACCAGGCCUGCUCUUGGGGGGAAGCCUCUGCUUGGCUGGCCUGCUAAUGAUGCCUCUGCCCCAGCAGGAGCCCGUGCUCCGUGCCACUGUUCCCAAGGGGACUUCCCAAAGCCGAGGACCAAGGAUGUGGGGUGUGGGCAUGUAUAGAGUACAGGGACCCUGAACACCCAGAGUUGGGGGUGUGCAGCUUCCUGCAGCCCUGAAGGGUGCCCUGGCAGCAGAGGGGUCCUGGGUAUAGCAGACCCCUCCCCGCUAAGGUACUCUCCCCACUGCCUUCAAAGCCUGCAGGAAGUUGGGGUGGUCCCAGCUCAGGAAAUCAGCCCAGUAUGCAAGCUGACUGGAGGCUGAAGGUGGGUUCUCCUGGGGCCCCAAAUGCCAGGAAGGAAAGGGAGCAGGUACUGAAGGGCAGAAUAUGGCCUCCAGCACCCAGGCACACUGGUGAUACAGUGGUCAGACAGGCGCUGGCCAAGGAGAAAUACCCCCAGGCAACAGGUUGCGGCCUGCCCACCAGGACCUCCCCAAGGCCUGCCUUCUGGUUUUUAGGCUGACCCCCUUCCAUCCCAUGACCAACCCUCCCCACCAGCCCGGGUCCUGUCCCUUCACUGGGAGGCCUCUGCUUGCAGCUUCUCCGGGCCUGCCCUGUAACAUUCCAGAACUGAAAACUGCCCUCCAUUCCUGGAGCCCAGCCUCCUCUGGGCUUUGCAGGUGCCGUCCCAUCUGGGAAACCCCCUUCCCACUGGACCUGGCUAGCUCCUACCCAGCCCUCCACUACCAAUGGGGUGAUGGACUCUGCAGAGGCCAGACAGCCUCCAGGCAAGCAAGCGUGGAGGCCCGGGCUCCCCUAAGAGUGAACACCACACCUGGGGGUUGUGCAUUUCCUCUGACCUCACAGAACUGGGGAGGCGCGAGACAACGGUGUCGGCCCCCAGGGGUGUCCUCCAUCAGGACAGCCUCCACCCACACACAAAGCUGACCUUUGGGCUGCUGGGUAGAUGUGCACUCCGCCGGCCACAGAAGGGGCCUGAGGGAGGCUUCUCUUGGCCCUGGUGCUCCACACCGAGCAGAAAUACACAUCCUCUUCGUUAACGACCUGGAAACUAGAAAAUCACUACCUGAGUGGCUGCAGAGGUCUCAAGGCGGGGAAUUGGAAGUGGCCCCCAAGCACAGCUCCUCAGCCUCUCCACCGAGGCCUGGGGCCAAAACUGUCCAGAACGUCAUCUGAUCCCGGAAUCCUAACAAAUCCCAGCCAGGAUGAGUAAAAUGCAACACACAUUUUGUCUUUGGGAGACUGCAGAAAAGCCAGAAACUGGCAAUCACCCACAGUGGCAGGCCAGUGACAGUGAAAUGACAUCUGAGUGGCUGAGGUAAUACAGAUGCUGAGCUAGGAGGGCGCACCCAGGGAAAUGGUCUUUUAAGAGGAGUUGAAUAAGAACAUGUUUGAACACACAGAAUUGAGUGUUUGCCACCAACAGGGUGCCGCUGAAGGAAGUCCAGGGGAAGGGCUUCAGGAAGAAGGCGAAUCCAAGAAGAAAUCACGGGGAAAGAGUUUUAUCUACUGCUACUGAACGAAUGAACUUAAUGUGGUGGGGGGGAUAAAAUCGCAAAGUUUCCAGAACCCCCACCUGGCCUUAUUCACAGAUACCUCAAGGGGUGGAGAGGCUGCUCUCAAGUGCCUUUAACAGUUUUCUUAAUGUUUCUGUGAGUUAAGACUUCAGGGCAGCUGCACAUAUUUGACAAGUCAAAACUAGAGACCAAGAGAACUCUGAAAUAAAAGGGUUUUUGAUGCGAAUCAGGGAAAGACUGGGAACGCAGGUCACACAUGACAUGACGGAUGCAGUGGUUCUGGGGACCUUCUAGAUGAUCAUUGAGAUGGUGUCGUACAGGAAUGUGGAGCUUCCGGUUAGCUAUGGCCCAUGGCUAUUGACUGACAGCCUUUCCUUGUCUGUCUUGUCUGUCCCUUACAUCACUUAAUUUAGGAUGGCUCAGAAUUUUUCCUUACCAGAUGUGUGCAGGCCCUGCCUGUGCCUGGGGCGGCGCCUCGAGGGGUACUGGCAGAGCACCUGGGUGUCCUCUCCAGUGGACUGCUCAGGUGUCCUCCUGACACUGAGGCUGCCUCCCUAGAGUGGGCGACCCGAGAAAAAGGCCAUGGGGUGGCCAUGCGUCCUUCAGGCCCUGGGUCAUACCCUCACUCUGUGGUCUUCUGUUCGCUAGAAGCUGGUCUGAAGCCUGUCCUUUCUCAAGGCCGUAGGGGAGUUAGGCUCUGCUUUCCCAAAGAGCAGAGUCAAAUAUGUGGCCAUAUAUUAAAACCAACCAAAAUGUACCAUCAAACAUGUAGGGGAAUCUAAGCAAACACUGACUGUAUAUAAGGACAAUAACGUAAUAGUAAUAAUGCUAAUCUGAGCAUGGGGGGAUGGGUAGAAUGGAACUAAUGUCCCUCUGACAUGUGAGGUGGGAGGAGCUGUGGGAGCUCCGGUGUCUGGAGUGCUGGUGCGGUGGCUGUGCACCCACUGGGUCUCUGGGGCCUUAGUGCGCCAUGCAAGCCAGCAACUGCAUUCUUGGGCAUUUGUUCCAGAGAAAUGAAGACUUUUUCGUUUUCAUGCAGGAACAUGUACAUGAAUGUUUAUAGCAGCCUUAUUGGUGAUAGCCCGAAACUACCAACUCGCUGAAUGUCCUUCUAGGGCUGAUUGCUGAGCAGACUGUGAUCCAUCCACACCGCAGGAUGGAACUCAGUGGCACAAGGAGUGAACUAUCCAAACACAACCGUGUGGAUGAACUUCCAGGAAAUUACUCUGAGCCGUAAAAGCUAACCUGAAGGAUACAUUAUACACAAUCUGUUUAUGCAGCAAUUGUGAAAUAACAGUUAUGAAGAAAGAAUGUUUGGGGAUGUGGCUAGAAAAGGGAGGGGGAAGCAGUCCUACGGUGAAGGUUCAGUUGAGCUUGGUGGUGGUGAUGGUUACACAAGGUCACGUGUGUGGGAAAGCUGCAGAGAGCCACACACACAUGUGAUUAAGCUCCUGAGAUGGCAUCCGGGCCCACUUCUUGGUUUUGCUAUUGUGCUGUCAUAAGAUGUUAACACUGGGGACACCGAGGGGAGGGCACAAAAGGCAUGUGUGCACAUUUCUUUGCAACCUUGUAUGAACCUGUAGUUAUUUCCAAGUAGAAAGGUGAGGUAAAAUACAAAUAUUUUAAAAUACAAAUUUUGUAUUACACAUAUAUAAAGACUUCUCAGAACAAUAAAGAGAAAUGGGCAAACUCACCAUCACAGUGGGAAAUUUUAACAAAUUUCUUAAUGAAUAGGUUAUAAUAGAUAUAAAAAUUUAUUGAUGAUGUGAAUCUCAUGGACAUAUAUAGAUCGAUGCACUCACUAAUUGGAGAGUACACAUUCUAUUCAAGCACAUAUGGAAUAUUUCCAGCUAUUUAUGACUUACAUGGGAGGCCAAAAAGUGUCAGAAUAUUGCUGGAGAUUGGUCUCAUUCGGGGUACAUGAUCUGACCAUGCGGCAGCUAAGUUAGAGAUGAACACUAAAAAGAGAACUAGGAAAAGCCCAGAUUUUAGAUAUUAAAACAAACACGUCUGAACAACUCACAUGUCAAAUAAGAAAUCACAAUAGCAGUGGGAAAAAAACUAAAUGAAAACAAUGAGUGUGCAUUAAAAGCAGAGACAAAAGGGAACUAUACAGGCUCUUAGACACGUCAGGGAAGAUGAAAGACUCAGAGAAUGUACUGAGCCUUGAAUUUCAGAAGGAGGAAAAAGAAUACAUACAAAGAAUAUGGAGGGAAGAAAUCAUUAAAUUGUACUAAAAAUGUUUUAUUGAGUAAGUACUGCACACCUGGCACUUUUCUUCAUGCUGCAGAGCAGCCGACAGGAUAAACCCCACAAUUCCUGCUCCCAUAAAAUCAUGUUCAAGAGAGAAUAAAAACUGGAGUAGAAACCAGUGAAAUAGAAAACAAAUAUGCAGUGAAGAAAACAUCAAUAAAGGCAAAAACUUGGUUGAGAAAAUGAAGUACACAAACAUCUGACUUACUAGUGGAGAAUAAAAAGUAAGGCAGAAAUAAAUGGUGUCAGGAAUCAAAAAGAAGGAAAUAAUAUAUGCUGCAGAAGUUAAGCAGAUAUGAACAGGAUAUUUUUUAUUUUGUAUUGACUUUUUUUUUAGGUGCAUACAGCAAAAUACACAAGCCAUAGUGUGCAGCUCAAUCCUGACCAUGUGCACACUCGUGCAGCCAUCACCCACGUCAGGACAGCAAGCACUGAUUCCCCCCUCACCUAAUGUCCUCACCUGCCUCCCUGUGGUAACCAUCAGUCUGUUCCCAGUGUCUAUGAAUUUGUUUUGUUUGUUUUGUUUUUUAGAUUCCACAUAUAAGUGAAAUCAAAUGGUCUUGUCUUCCUCUGCCUGGCUUAUCUCACUUGGCAUGAUACCCUAUGGUCUAUCUGUGUCAUCACAAAUGGCAGGAUUUCAUUCUUUUGUGGCUGAGUAAUAUUCCAUUGUGUAUACGUACCACCUCUCCUUAUCCAUUCAUCUACUGAUGGGCACUCGG